GACGAACGCUGGCGGCGUGCUUAACACAUGCAAGUCGAACGGAAAGGCCCUGCUUUUGUGGGGUGCUCGAGUGGCGAACGGGUGAGUAACACGUGAGUAACCUGCCCUUGACUUUGGGAUAACUUCAGGAAACUGGGGCUAAUACCGGAUAGGAGCUCCUGCUGCAUGGUGGGGGUUGGAAAGUUUCGGCGGUUGGGGAUGGACUCGCGGCUUAUCAGCUUGUUGGUGGGGUAGUGGCUUACCAAGGCUUUGACGGGUAGCCGGCCUGAGAGGGUGACCGGCCACAUUGGGACUGAGAUACGGCCCGAACUCCUAAGGGAGGCAGCAGUGGGGAAUAUUGCACAAUGGGCGGAAGCAUGAUGCAGCAACGCCGCGUGCGGGAUGACGGCCUUCGGGUUGUAAACAGCUUUCGCCUGUGACGAAGCGUGAGUGACGGUAAUGGGUAAAGAAGCACCGGCUAACUACGUG
This 468-nucleotide ribosomal RNA is filed under the name uncultured bacterium. Its description in RNAcentral is "partial 16S ribosomal RNA". It matches the Rfam family "Bacterial small subunit ribosomal RNA", at positions 28 to 507 of the family's 1533-position model. The record is from RNAcentral.